UAACUCAGUUGGUUAGAGUAACUGACUCAUAAUCAGUAAGUCGCGAGUUCGAGCCUCGCCA
Molecule: transfer RNA, 61 nt
Filed under: Chryseobacterium sp.
Lineage: Bacteria; Pseudomonadati; Bacteroidota; Flavobacteriia; Flavobacteriales; Weeksellaceae
Description: tRNA-Met
Rfam family: tRNA
About the family: Transfer RNA (tRNA) molecules are approximately 80 nucleotides in length. Their secondary structure includes four short double-helical elements and three loops (D, anti-codon, and T loops).
Source: RNAcentral